AGGGUUUGAUUAUGGCUCAGGAUGAACGCUGGCGGCGUGCCUAACACAUGCAAGUCGAACGGAGUCGUUUUGGAAAUCUCUUCGGAGAUGGAAUUCUCGACUUAGUGGCGGACGGGUGAGUAACGCGUGAGCAAUCUGCCUUUAAGAGGGGGAUAACAGUCGGAAACGGCUGCUAAUACCGCAUAAAGCAUCAAAUUCGCAUGUUUUUGAUGCCAAAGGAGCAAUCCGCUUUUAGAUGAGCUCGCGUCUGAUUAGCUGGUUGGCGGGGUAACGGCCCACCAAGGCGACGAUCAGUAGCCGGACUGAGAGGUUGAACGGCCACAUUGGGACUGAGACACGGCCCAG
This 345-nucleotide ribosomal RNA is filed under the name uncultured bacterium. RNAcentral describes it as "bacterial SSU rRNA". It matches the Rfam family "Bacterial small subunit ribosomal RNA", at positions 8 to 334 of the family's 1533-position model. The record is from RNAcentral.